This 306-nucleotide unclassified non-coding RNA is filed under the name Melitaea cinxia (Glanville fritillary). RNAcentral describes it as "misc RNA ENSMCXG00005006848.1". The record is from RNAcentral. Lineage: Eukaryota; Metazoa; Arthropoda; Insecta; Lepidoptera; Nymphalidae.
GCGGGGAUUGAACCCACUAACGCCAGCGCAACAGCCGGUGCUGUGACCGCUGCGCUAACGCGUCGACAUACUAUGAGUAAAGUUCGCUAUCAGGUGUACGUAAUAACAACCGGGACUGACAGCCUAACGUGUUCUCCGAGGCUAGGUUGGGAGAACCACAAGGAUUAACAACUAGACCGAAAAUAAAUAUUUGUGUAAACAUAAAUAUCCACUCCGAGCGGGAAUAGAACCCGCGACCGUCGGUGUUUAGGCGCCGCCGACACGGCACAUGCACCAUUAUAUCAAAGCGGUCGUCAAACAACAAAA